Molecule: ribosomal RNA, 322 nt
Filed under: Aceria ceanothi
Lineage: Eukaryota; Metazoa; Arthropoda; Arachnida; Trombidiformes; Eriophyidae
Description: partial large subunit ribosomal RNA
Rfam family: Eukaryotic large subunit ribosomal RNA
Source: RNAcentral
UCGGUCUUGACUAGGCCAGACAGUGGGGACUUGUUCCCGCGAAUGAAGGCGUAGAGAAAUCAAAUCGUGUGAUCGGUUGGGCAACAACAGCCUGGCCGCGCAACAUGUGCCUGUUCGAUAGUUGUGUUAGCAAUAACCAACUGAGCGGAGUAAAGAGAUGCCCGAUUGGGACCCGAAAGAUGGUGAACUAUGCUUGGGCAAAUUGAAGCCAGAGGAAACUCUGGUGGAGGAUUGUAGCGAUUCUGACGUGCAAAUCGAUCGUCAGACCUGAGUAUAGGGGCGAAAGACUAAUCGAACCAUCUAGUAGCUGGGUUCCUUCCAA